ACUCAAAUGAAUAGACGGGGGCCCGCACAAGCAGUGGAUUAUGUGGUUUAAUUCGAAGCAACGCGAAGAACCUUACCAGGGCUUGACAUCCUGCUAACGAGAUAGAGAUAUGUCAGGUGCCCUUCGGGGAAAGCAGAGACAGGUGGUGCAUGGUUGUCGUCAGCUCGUGUCGUGAGAUGUUGGGUUAAGUCCCGCAACGAGCGCAACCCCUAUUGUUAGUUGCUACGCGAGAGCACUCUAGCGAGACUGCCGUUCAUAAAGCGGAGGAAGGUGGGGACGACGUCAAAUCAUCAUGCCCCUUAUGUCCUGGGCUACACACGUAAUACAAUGGCGUUUUAACAGAGGGAAGCGAAGCCGCGAGGCGGAGCAAAUCCCGAAAAGGCGUCCCAGUUCGGAUCGCAGGCUGCAACCCGCCUGCGUGAAGUCGGAAUUGCUAGUAAUCGCGGAUCAUCAUGCCGCGGUGAAUACGUUCCCGGGCCUUGCACACACCGCCCGU
RNAcentral lists this ribosomal RNA (496 nucleotides) under uncultured bacterium. Its description in RNAcentral is "bacterial SSU rRNA". It matches the Rfam family "Bacterial small subunit ribosomal RNA", at positions 899 to 1397 of the family's 1533-position model. The record is from RNAcentral.